CCUACGGGAGGCAGCAGUGAGGAAUAUUGGUCAAUGGGCGGGAGCCUGAACCAGCCAAGUCGCGUGAGGGAAGACGGUCCUAUGGAUUGUAAACCUCUUUAGGCGGGGAGCAAUGCCGGGCACGCGUGCCCGGAGGGAGAGUACCCGCAGAAUAAGCAUCGGCUAACUCCGUGCCAGCAGCCGCGGUAAUACGGAGGAUGCGAGCGUUAUCCGGAUUGAUUGGGUUUAAAGGGUGCGUAGUCGGAUUUGUAAGUCAGCGGUAAAAUGUCCGGGCUCAACCCGGGCCGGCCGUUGAAACUGGGGAUCUUGAGUGGGCGAGAAGUAUGCGGAAUGCGUGGUGUAGCGGUGAAAUGAAUAGAUAUCACGCAGAACUCCGAUUGCGAAGGCAGCAUACCGGCGCCCGACUGACGCUGAGGCACGAAAGCGUGGGGAUCGAACAGGAUUAGAUACCCCAGUAGUC
Molecule: ribosomal RNA, 460 nt
Filed under: uncultured bacterium
Lineage: Bacteria
Description: partial 16S ribosomal RNA
Rfam family: Bacterial small subunit ribosomal RNA
Source: RNAcentral